CAGUCGCCGCGGUAAUACGAAGGGGGCUAGCGUUGUUCGGAAUUACUGGGCGUAAAGGGCGCGUAGGCGGCCAUUCAAGUUAGAUGUGAAAGCCCUGGGCUCAACCUAGGAAUUGCAUUUGAUACUGUUUGGCUUGAGUUCGGGAGAGGUGAGUGGAAUUCCCAGUGUAGAGGUGAAAUUCGUAGAUAUUGGGAAGAACACCAGUGGCGAAGGCGGCUCACUGGACCGACACUGACGCUGAGGCGCGAAAGCGUGGGGAGCAAACAGGAUUAGAUACCCCAGUAGUCCCUGUCUCUUAUAC
This 301-nucleotide ribosomal RNA is filed under the name uncultured bacterium. RNAcentral describes it as "partial 16S ribosomal RNA". It matches the Rfam family "Bacterial small subunit ribosomal RNA", at positions 509 to 807 of the family's 1533-position model. The record is from RNAcentral.